GGAUAAGGGAGCCCAGCAGCCCUCACACAUACUUGCUCUCGGACAAGCUUUGUCAAAUGCCCCACUUUAGAAGUAGGGAAUGCUAGUUAGCAUUCCUGGGAGAAGUGAGUCUCUAUGGCUUGCCCUUUUGAAACUGGUUUCCAAACAAAAUGCAUACUCAUGAAUAUUUAUUGAUCAUAAAAGUUUGGCAGAUUAGAGCAGAAGAAGGGUAGCAUGAGGAGUACCAACUCUUAAACCUGAGUAGGACUCAUGUCUGCACUACACCUUAUACAACAGUGUCUGUGAAAUGGUUAAAGAGUAAAAACCCAAUCUGUUGCAGCCAGAAAGGAGUACUCGGCAAGAAGAACCAGGGAGCUGACAUGUUCCUAGAUCCAGGAGCCACCCAGUGGAUUGACGAUUCUUAUCAUAAUAAGACUUCCUUGAACCAUCCCCCACCCAACCCUUUUCCAGAAAGAGUUGAAGACAAAUCUACAGUGAAUAGGAGGCUGAGGCCACCACAGUGAGUUCCAAGAGUAUGCACCACAGUGCCCCCUCUUAUUCAAUCCCAAUCAUUGCUAAGCAACUAACUGGUUGUCAGUGGUGGCAGAGAUAAAAAGCCCAUUCUGCUUCGAGAAGAAUCCCUUGGCAGAAGUUACUGUUCCCAAGCUCAAAAAA
Molecule: long non-coding RNA, 654 nt
Filed under: Homo sapiens (human)
Lineage: Eukaryota; Metazoa; Chordata; Mammalia; Primates; Hominidae
Description: HSALNT0057813
Source: RNAcentral